This 4148-nucleotide long non-coding RNA is filed under the name Gallus gallus (chicken). Lineage: Eukaryota; Metazoa; Chordata; Aves; Galliformes; Phasianidae. The record is from RNAcentral.
UCGCGCAUGGAAAUGGUGAGAUGCAAAGCCUGCUUCAGUAUCAAGCCACGACCUAAAAAUUAUUUUAUGCAACUCAACUAAAUCAUCAGGGAGCAGCGGAAAUGUUAUUUCACAUGCUCUUAAGUGGAAAGGGCCUUUAAGUAGGAUAGCAAGUUGGAACACAGCUGCCCGUUGAAGAUUUGCAAAGGCAAAAACUGAGCAAAGGAAUGGAAAUGCUUAAUGCUAAGGAGAACGCCAUCCUGCCAUCUCUCUAAAGUCAACACCACAUAGGCACUGGUCAAAUACAAGCUCCUGGAGUCAGCACAGGAACUACUGUGAGAAAUGCAAAAGUCUGAAACCUCUAGAUUCGCCAGAUGAUCUAAUUGCUGCGAGAAGGAGCAGUAUCGGAACAAUAUAGAAUAAUACUAAUGUAUACGGAUUCUUGGAGUCUCACCUCAUCUACCAGAAGAGUUUCCAAGGUGGAAAAUAAAUGCUAGUACAGCUAGCAGUACAGAGCUGCAAGAACCCUUUCUGUUUUUCUGAAAACGAGUCUAAGAAAGCUCUGCGGAGUCUCCAGCACAGUGCCUACUCUUCGUUUGAGGAAAACCAGAAAAUUGAGUAGAACUUGCAGAAAUAAUCUAAUUUACAUCACUCAAGACUUUUUACCUAGUACCGGUGGCAAACAUCAUUCUAUUUUGGAUGGUAAGAACAGUAAUAGCUGAGCACGAAUAACAGGCAUGGAUUCAUCUGCUAUUUCAAGAGAGGUUUCUUUCCCUCCUUGUCUCCUGCUUCACUAGUUUAACAACAACAACAUCUCAUUUCAUACCUUAAGACAGCUCAGUAUUGCUAAGCUUGUUCCCUGCCAAAAUGGAAGGAACGUCAGGUAACAAAACCUAAAGGAUGACUAAUUUGUCUUCUAGCUGCACAAUAAUAAACACCAGAACUGAAGACUGUAAACCAUGCCAGUAUUUUGGGCCAAGGCUGGAGUGCUCAAGCAUCUAGCAAGCAGAACAAGAGGAAUGUCACUGUGUGACCAAGGAGAGCUCAACCUCUGCUCUCAAAUUUGGCCACUGUUAAUGGCCUGUAAAACUUCUAAGCUGCCUCAAUGAGAACAAGCAACGCCAAGAAGAACAGGCCCAGCAGGGAGGGCUAUUCAGGCCAUAGCAGUUCUUGCCCUUAUUGGAACAGAACGGGUGCGGCUACAUGCAACCCACAGCGAACAGAACAUGUGAUGCAGAUAUGCCAUCUACAUAGCUGCCUGGAGAUCAUACAAAGCUGCAGAAGGAUACCCACUGUCCAUAAAAAGUUGCAUACCUUAAGUUAGAUGAUAGAAGCUACAACACUAAGCAUUGUUACAAAAUAUAGAGAGAGAGACUAAGAACAAUAAAAACAGGUUUGCAAUUGUGAUAUUUUUAUUGUUGUUUUAUGAGAGGUAGCAGAAAGGACGACCUGCACUUUUCAAAUCAUUGUAGCAAAGUACACAAUAUUAAUUUUCAAGGAAACCAACAUUCAUAUCAACGCUAAAGGAAAUUUUAGUAUCUGUGCAACAUGCAUGCACGUCAGACUCAGAAAGGAAGGCUUGGAUAAGGAAGACAUUUGGGCAUUUAGCUCAAUCUUCAAACAUAAACUUGGUGAUUCUUCCUCUGCUGCUCCCGUCUGUCAGCAUUAAUCCACAGCCACAUCAGAGGGAGACAAGAGGCCAAAGCAAUGCCUAGUUGAGAGAUGUCUGGCUGAAACACAGAGCAGUCUGUGAGUCUAAUCCAGGCUUUAUAUUCAAAAGGAGAAGAAAGCAGAUACAGUAACUAAGAUUAUGGUUUUCCAGUUAUUUCUUCUGAAUAACUGCUCUCAGAACGGAGCUGCUCAGAGUUGCAUUUAGUAUGGACUUCAUAAAUAACUCUUCAUUAGUACCACUUAGUAGUAAAGUGGUGGUAGCCACCAUUAUUUGAAGCUCUAUGAAAUACGCAGAUUGAUCUUUCCAGUUUUAAGAUCAAAUUACUUCCCAUCGUUCCAAUUUCAUCCUUAUUUCAAAUCACUUGGUUAAUAGCAGGCAAGGGGUUUCAGCUUCAUAAAUACAAUAAGGGAGCUAAAGAAUCUCUCUCUGAUGAGUACUUCAUGACAAUGCUUCCUUGACUUUUCAUUUUCAGCAGUUAUCACGAGUAGUUCUGCAAAAUCUUUCUAAUGGAGGACAGGCUGGAGUUUGAGGAGCAGAAAGCAAGGACGUGGGUUGGCUUUUUACAGGAAUAUAUUGGAAGGGUUAGGAAGCAUAGGGUUGUGAAAAUUUGGCAGAUGAUACCCUUAUGCAUGCUACAGCCAGCCAUUAUGUGUCACAUGACAGGAAAUUCCUAACGGUAACAUAAAACACCUUCACUAAGGAAAAAAUGAAAUGAUGCUUUAACAAAAUUUCAUGCCCAUGACACAGGCCGAGGUAGGCUGGGUGACCUGCCAGCCUGAAGACACUCCAUAUGUUAUGAUCAUGAGCUCAGGAAAAAAAAAAAAAAGCUUGUGUUUCUUUUUUAGACCAUGACGAUCCAUUUUAUUUAUUGAGCUGAAUCUCAUCACACCUUGCAGCAAAAUUAAGAAUCACAUAGUAAAUACCUGGAGCUUGCUAAAAUUAUUAAAAUAACUAUCUCAGACAGUAUGCCCUGGCCUUGAUCCUUCCAAUCACUGAAAUGCUCAUUUAAUUAAAAGCCAUCUGAAGUUAGAAAGAACAUUAAAAACAAAAACAACAACAACAAAGAAACACCUGUCAGAGAAGCCCCCACAAGAUUUCAGACAAUGAAAUAUCUUAGUGAAUAAUGUAUGAGAAAAUUUGUUGCAUUUAACGUUUAUUUGGUAUAAUAGUAGGUCUGAGCUUACCAUCUCUGAUUAAUUUAACUCCUUAAGUCUGACUGAUCACCGCUGUAUCUCUUGGCGCUGGUUAAGGACAUCUCCACUAAGUAGAGCAUUUGCUGACAUUGUCCCCAGUGAGCAAUGGUCAUUACUGCUCACACACAUUAAGCCAGAGCUGCUCCCUAGCAGAUGUUCUAGUAAAAGAGCCAUCCCAAUUUGUUACAUUUCCCAUUAAAAGAAUAAAUAAUGUAUUUUCUACCAAAAUGAUAUUAAAAUGCUGGGAGAUUCAUAAAAGUCCUCCAGUCUCAUUCAGAGGAAGGGGAGAAAGGCACUUUGCAAUAUAUUGGCAAGACUUUUUGCUACCAACACAUCAGUGUCACAGAUGAAUCAUGAUAUUCCAAAAACAUCAGCCUUCAUAACAACAAAAGUAACCACAAUUUCAAUAAAUUGGAAGGACACAUCAAGGUCUAUAAAGCAAGAGGAUGAAAGGAGUUAUUAGCCUGCUACUUGUUCCCUGUCCCUUCCCUGCUAUUAGCUGUUUGCCUUCCAAGAAGCUCAGUGAAGCAACAUGUCUCUAAUAGCAUCACUGUGAACUCAGCUUUAAAGACAAAACUCUAACACAUUACGUGCAUAAAUCAAACACAUGAGUGGCAAUAUUUGUGGUGGACUGAGCAGCAGACACACACAGCUGAGCACAUCAGUAGACACCAACAACACGUUUACCACAUAGCCCUGCAGCUGAAGCUUCAGCGGCUCAGCACUGCAAGGAGCAAUGCUCCCUGGUGCACUGGGAGCGAGGGGACAUACGAGCAGCCAGCGAGAAGCAGCAAUUCUGGAACCCAGAGCACCCUGCCUGGAUCAGAUGCCGCAGGAAAACAGUGAUUUUGGGGUACGCUCCACUGUAUGAAACAUAGAACGUUUGUUUUCUGAAAAAAGCAUCGCUGCAUUGGGCACUUGGAAGCAAUAAUCAGGUUCUGAAAGUUUACAAGAGACCGUGCAUUUUUAGUCUGAUCUUCCCAUUAGGAUUAAUUGUAAGCAGCGUAAGCAGAGUCAUAAAGAAGCCCCAGAGGAAAAAAAAAUAUCUUCCCUAUAAUUAAUUGUGCCAUUUGACUAAUAAAACAACUUAUACUUCCAUUAACCAAGCUGCAUGCAAAGAGACUUGAUUUUCAGAUCCACUUGACAUAAACAUAGCUUAUCUUAAUUAAUCCUUCUGCAGGCUUUGUUUUCUGGAACGCAUUCACCUCAAAUAAAGCAACUUUUAUCAACACCUAAGCAGUAUUUUUAUCUUUAUAGCCUCAGGUAGAUGCCGGAGCUAAGCUGGGAUCCAGCAAUGUCUUCGC